GUGAGGAAUUUUCCGCAAUGGGCGAAAGCCUGACGGAGCAAUGCCGCGUGAAGGAUGAAGGCCUAUGGGUUGUAAACUUCUUUUCUCAGAAAAGAAUUAUGACGGUAUCUGAGGAAUAAGCAUCGGCUAACUCUGUGCCAGCAGCCGCGGUAAGACAGAGGAUGCAAGCGUUAUCCGGAAUGAUUGGGCGUAAAGCGUCUGUAGGUUGUUUAAAAAGUAUUCUGUCAAAGAUUAGGGCUUAACCCUAGAUAGGCAGAAUAAACUUUUAAGCUAGAGUUUGGUAGAGGCAGAGGGAAUUCCCGGUGGAGCGGUGAAAUGCGUAGAUAACGGGAGGAACACCAAAGGCGAAGGCACUCUGCUGGGCCAAUACUAACACUGAGAGACGAAAGCGAGGGGAGCAAAUGGGAUUAGAAACCCGGGUAGUCC
RNAcentral lists this ribosomal RNA (426 nucleotides) under uncultured bacterium. Its description in RNAcentral is "partial 16S ribosomal RNA". It matches the Rfam family "Bacterial small subunit ribosomal RNA", at positions 354 to 796 of the family's 1533-position model. The record is from RNAcentral.